This 253-nucleotide ribosomal RNA is filed under the name uncultured bacterium. RNAcentral's name for it is "partial 16S ribosomal RNA". It matches the Rfam family "Bacterial small subunit ribosomal RNA", at positions 524 to 776 of the family's 1533-position model. The record is from RNAcentral.
UACGAACCGGACAACCGUUAUUCGGAAUCACUGGGCUUACAGGGUGCGUAGGCGGUCUGGAGGGUGGGGUGUGAAAUCCCUCGGCUCAACCGAGGAAUUGCGCUCCAAACCGGCAGACUUGAGGGAGACAGAGGUGUGCGGAACUGAUGGUGGAGCGGUGAAAUGCGUUGAUAUCAUCAGGAACACCAGUGGCGAAAGCGGCACACUGGGUCUCUACUGACGCUGAGGCACGAAAGCCAGGGGAGCGAACGGG